GGGAAUGUGGUGAAAUUGGUAGACACGACGGACUUAAAAUCCGUUGCGGUAAAACGCGUGGGGGUUCAAGUCCCCCCGUUCCCA
Molecule: transfer RNA, 84 nt
Filed under: Pseudo-nitzschia sp.
Lineage: Eukaryota; Bacillariophyta; Bacillariophyceae; Bacillariales; Bacillariaceae
Description: tRNA-Leu
Rfam family: tRNA
About the family: Transfer RNA (tRNA) molecules are approximately 80 nucleotides in length. Their secondary structure includes four short double-helical elements and three loops (D, anti-codon, and T loops).
Source: RNAcentral